CACAGUGGCCUCUGGGACUAUG
Molecule: microRNA, 22 nt
Filed under: Echinops telfairi (small Madagascar hedgehog)
Lineage: Eukaryota; Metazoa; Chordata; Mammalia; Afrosoricida; Tenrecidae
Description: Ete-Mir-216-P2b_3p* (star (passenger))
Source: RNAcentral